Long non-coding RNA from Canis lupus familiaris (dog), 837 nucleotides. RefSeq lists it as uncharacterized. The transcript is spliced from 3 exons. Lineage: Eukaryota; Metazoa; Chordata; Mammalia; Carnivora; Canidae. The record is from RefSeq and is a predicted model, not a curated record.
GCUAGGCCCAGAGUGGGCACUUCAUGAACAGUGACCACUUUGAUUCCUACCACCUGCACUUAACUUUUCAGACUGUCAGAUGGGGAAAAUGAGGGGGAAAAUGAGAAGUCGUGGAUCAGGGGCAGGCUCCAGGAGACCUUCUCAGUAGGAAGUUUGGGUGAAAGAUGCGCAGGAGGGAGCAAUAUACACAAGCAACUCCAAAGAUUCCAGCUUCCCACCUCACAGAGAGCUCCUGGAUCAGCUUCUGGACUAUGAGAUGGAAUGAGGUUCCUCCAAUGAGAUGUGGUUGACCUUGGAGCCCAGGGACUAUGUCCUAUGCGGAACCCCCACUCAAGCUGAUAGACCCAUCCUGCUAGACACACAUCUCUUGCCCACUGGAAGAGUCCUUGGAGAUCUCAGAGGUCUCGAGCUUGCCACACAGCCCAGAGGGACACCCGAGGAACAUUCCAGCAGGAUCCAGAAAGAAGGAACAUGGAGAGAGCCACCAUAGACUCAGAAGCUUCCAGAGAAAGAAGGUAUCUUCAGGAAACCCCUAGAGCAAUUCCAGCAGCUAGGAAGCCUUGGGAGAUCCUAGGAGCAGGGUCUGAGCAGAGCCCAAGCCCCAGGUGGACCACAGCCCUGUCAAGAUACAAACAAGCCUCCCUGCCUGGCAAACUCAUCUAAAAGGAACCCAGUGGUAAAGGAGGUGGAAAUUCGGAUCUGCCUGCAUAUACCCAAACCUGAUCAUUAAAACAACCCCAGCUUGCCCCCAAAUGAAAUCCUCUUUCUGACAGGCCUGUGUGCAGGAUUCCUUUGCAUUUGGGUACACUUCUCUCACAUAAAUUGGCAGGAAACAAA